Molecule: ribosomal RNA, 588 nt
Filed under: uncultured bacterium
Lineage: Bacteria
Description: partial 16S ribosomal RNA
Rfam family: Bacterial small subunit ribosomal RNA
Source: RNAcentral
UGGGGAAUUUUGGACAAUGGGCGAAAGCCUGAUCCAGCAAUGCCGCGUGUGUGAAGAAGGCCUUCGGGUUGUAAAGCACUUUUGUCCGGAAAGAAAUCCUUGGCUCUAAUACAGUCGGGGGAUGACGGUACCGGAAGAAUAAGCACCGGCUAACUACGUGCCAGCAGCCGCGGUAAUACGUAGGGUGCAAGCGUUAAUCGGAAUUACUGGGCGUAAAGCGUGCGCAGGCGGUUUGCUAAGACCGAUGUGAAAUCCCCGGGCUCAACCUGGGAACUGCAUUGGUGACUGGCAGGCUAGAGUAUGGCAGAGGGGGGUAGAAUUCCACGUGUAGCAGUGAAAUGCGUAGAGAUGUGGAGGAAUACCGAUGGCGAAGGCAGCCCCCCUGGGGCCAAAUACUGACGCUCAUGCACGAAAGCGUGGGGAGCAAACAGGAUUAGAUACCCUGGUAGUCCACGCCCUAAACGAUGUCAACUAGUUGUUGGGGAUUCAUUUCCUUAGUAACGUAGCUAACGCGUGAAGUUGACCGCCUGGGGAGUACGGUCGCAAGAUUAAAACUCAAAGGAAUUGACGGGGUCAUAGCUGUUUCCU